RNAcentral lists this ribosomal RNA (450 nucleotides) under uncultured bacterium. Its description in RNAcentral is "partial 16S ribosomal RNA". It matches the Rfam family "Bacterial small subunit ribosomal RNA", at positions 354 to 796 of the family's 1533-position model. The record is from RNAcentral.
GUGGGGAAUAUUGGGCAAUGGGCGCAAGCCUGAUCCAGCAAUGCCGCGUGCAGGAAGAAGGCCUUCGGGUUGUAAACUGCUUUUGUACGGAACGAAAAGGCUCUGGUUAAUACCUGGGGCUCAUGACGGUACCGUAAGAAUAAGCACCGGCUAACUACGUGCCAGCAGCCGCGGUAAAACGUAGGGAGCAAGCGUUAAUCGGAAUUACUGGGCGUAAAGCGUGCGCAGGCGGUUUUGUAAGACAGAGGUGAAAUCCCCGGGCUCAACCUGGGAAUUGCCUUUGUGACUGAAAGGCUGGCGUGCGGCAGAGGGAGAUGGAAUUCCGCGUGUAGCAGUGAAAUGCGUAGAUAUGCGGAGGAACACCGAUGGCGAAGGCAAUCCCCUGGGCCUGCACUGACGCUCAUGCACGAAAGCGUGGGGAGCAAACAGGAUUAGAUACCCUAGUAGUCC